RNAcentral lists this transfer RNA (72 nucleotides) under Acidimicrobiia bacterium. RNAcentral's name for it is "tRNA-Gln". It matches the Rfam family "tRNA". Rfam says of the family: Transfer RNA (tRNA) molecules are approximately 80 nucleotides in length. Their secondary structure includes four short double-helical elements and three loops (D, anti-codon, and T loops). The record is from RNAcentral. RNAcentral also lists the same sequence under 2 other names. Lineage: Bacteria; Bacillati; Actinomycetota; Acidimicrobiia.
UCGGGGGUGGUGUAACCGGCAGCACAGGGUCCUUUGGAGUCCCUGGACGAGGUUCGAAUCCUCGCCCCCGAG